This 338-nucleotide ribosomal RNA is filed under the name uncultured Sphingobacteriales bacterium. RNAcentral describes it as "bacterial SSU rRNA". It matches the Rfam family "Bacterial small subunit ribosomal RNA", at positions 1045 to 1382 of the family's 1533-position model. The record is from RNAcentral. Lineage: Bacteria; Pseudomonadati; Bacteroidota; Sphingobacteriia; Sphingobacteriales.
AUGGUUGUCGUCAGCUCGUGCCGUGAGGUGUCGGGUUAAGUCCCAUAACGAGCGCAACCCUUACCGUUAGUUACCAUCAGGUUAAGCUGGGGACUCUAGCGGGACUGCCACCGUAAGGUGAGAGGAAGGUGGGGAUGACGUCAAAUCAGCACGGCCCUUAUGUCCAGGGCUACACACGUGUUACAAUGGCCGGUACAAAGGGCAGCUACUUCGCGAGAAGAUGCUAAUCUCGAAAGCCGGUCUCAGUUCGGAUCGAAGUCUGCAACCCGACUUCGUGAAGCUGGAUUCGCUAGUAAUCGCGCAUCAGCCAUGGCGCGGUGAAUACGUUCCCGGGCCUU